RNAcentral lists this ribosomal RNA (253 nucleotides) under uncultured bacterium. Its description in RNAcentral is "partial 16S ribosomal RNA". It matches the Rfam family "Bacterial small subunit ribosomal RNA", at positions 524 to 776 of the family's 1533-position model. The record is from RNAcentral.
UACAGAGGGUGCAAGCGUUGUUCGGAAUCAUUGGGCGUAAAGGGCGUGUAGGCGGUCUGUUAAGUCAUGUGUGAAAUCCCUCGGCUUAACCGGGGAACUGCGUCUGAUACUGGAUGGCUUGAGGUUGGGAGAGGGAUGCGGAAUUCCAGGUGUAGCGGUGAAAUGCGUAGAUAUCUGGAGGAACACCGGUGGCGAAGGCGGCAUCCUGGACCAAUUCUGACACUGAGGAGCGAAGGCCAGGGGAGCAAACGGG